UCGCUGCUUUUUUCCUCUUUCUGCUCCUCCUCCUCCUGGUCAUCAUUUCAUCGUUCCUGCUUUUUGCCUCCACCACGUCCUCCUCCGCCAGAUGUUAAGAUGCUGAUAUUUUUCCUCCUUCUCCUCAAUUUGUGGUUGCUCCUUUUUUUUCUCCUCCUCUUCCUCCUCCUCCACCACCACCUCCACCUCCUCCGCCUUAUUUCGAGGUUUCUGUUUUUUUCCUCUUCCUACUUGUGAAUUCUUGGUGGCCACUUUUUUUUCCACCACCUCCUCCUUUUCCUCCUUCUGCUUCACCACAUCCUCCUCCUUCUCCUAGUCAUUUCAUCAUUCCUGCUUUUUGCCUCGUCCUCCUUUUUUCUCCUGUACCUCCACCUGCAACUUACCCACCUUAUUUCCUUUCGGCUGCUUUUUACCUCCUCCUUCUCAUUGUUCAAUCGCUGCUUUUUUCCUCUUUCUGCUCCUCCACCUCCAGCUCUAUCUCCUCCUCCUCCUCUUGGUCAUCCUUUCAUCGUUCCUGCCUUUUUCCUCCACCACAUCCUCCUCUGCCAGAUGUUAAGAUGCUGAUUUUUUUCUCCUUCUCCUCAAUUUGUGGUUGCUUCUUUUUUUCCUCCACCUCCUCCUCUACCACCACCACCACUUCCACCUCCUCCGCCUCAUUUUGUGGUUUCUGUCUUUUUCCUCUUCCUACAUGUGAAUUCCUGAUUGGCACGUUUUUUUUCCUCCUCCUCCACCACCACCACCUCCACCUCCUCCGCCUUAUUUCGAGGUUUCUGUUUUUUUUCCUCUUCCUACCUGUGAAUUCUUGGUGGCCACUUUUUUUUCCGCCGCCUCCUCCUCCUCUUCCUCCAGCACCUCCUUCUUUUCCUCCUCCUGCUUCACCACGUCCUCCUCCUUCUCCUAGUCACUUCAUCAUUCCUGCUUUUUGCCUCCUCCUCCUUCUCCUUCUCUACCUCCACCUGCAACUUACCCACCUUAUUUCCUUUCCGCUGCUUUUUACCACCUCCUCAUUGUUCAGUCGCUGCUUUUUUCCUCUUUCUGCUCCUCUUUCUCCACCUCCAGCUCUAUCUCCUCCUCCUCCUGGUCAUCAUUUCAUCGUUCCUGCUUUUUUCUUCCACCACCACCACCUGCACCUCCUCCACCUUAUUUUGUGGUUUCUGUUUUUUUUUCCUCUUCUUACCUGUGAAUUCUUGGUGGCCACUUUUUUUUACCUCUUCCUCAUCCUCUUCCAACACCUUCUCCUUUUCCUGCUCCUGCUCCACCUCCUUCUCCUUCUCCUCCUCCACCGAAUUGUGUGGUUUCUGCUUUUGUUAUCUUCCUCUGUGUAAUUUCAGGGUCACCACUUUUUUCCUUGUAUUCUUUCUCACCACCUCCAGCUCCUCCAUUUCAUUUCACUUUUUCUGCUCUUUUUCUCUACCUGCCUUUUCUUUCCUUUUUACCUUCAAUUUCCUCCUCCUUGUCCUCCUCCUCCUCGUCCUUCACCUCCACCUUUACCUUACCGUCGUCAUUUUGUGGUUGCUUCUCUUUUCCUGCUCUUCCUCUUCAUUUUUUGCUUCUUAUUUCCUUCUCCUCCUCCUCCUGAUCUUCCUCCACUUCGACCUGCUCCUCUCCUAUUUAUCAUUUUUUUUGUCUUACUUCUCCACUCCACCUUUGUGUUCUUUGAAAAGUGUUUCUUUCUUUUUCCCCCUGUAG
RNAcentral lists this long non-coding RNA (1689 nucleotides) under Phasianus colchicus (ring-necked pheasant). RNAcentral describes it as "lncRNA (ENSPCLG00000021482.1)". Lineage: Eukaryota; Metazoa; Chordata; Aves; Galliformes; Phasianidae. The record is from RNAcentral.